This 445-nucleotide ribosomal RNA is filed under the name uncultured bacterium. RNAcentral describes it as "partial 16S ribosomal RNA". It matches the Rfam family "Bacterial small subunit ribosomal RNA", at positions 354 to 796 of the family's 1533-position model. The record is from RNAcentral.
GUGAGGAAUACUGGACAAUGGGCGCAAGCCUGAUCCAGCCAUGCCGCGUGCAGGAAGACGCAUCUAUGGUGUGUAAACUGCUUUUGUACGGGAAGAAACACUCCCUCGUGAGGGAGCUUGACGGUACCGUAAGAAUAAGGAUCGGCUAACUCCGUGCCAGCAGCCGCGGUAAUACGGAGGAUCCAAGCGUUAUCCGGAAUCAUUGGGUUUAAAGGGUCCGUAGGCGGUUUAAUAAGUCAGUGGUGAAAGCCCAUCGCUCAACGAUGGAACGGCCAUUGAUACUGUUAGACUUGAAUUACAAGGAAGUAACUAGAAUAUGUAGUGUAGCGGUGAAAUGCUUAGAUAUUACAUGGAAUACCAAUUGCGAAGGCAGGUUACUACUUGUGGAUUGACGCUGAUGGACGAAAGCGUGGGGAGCGAACAGGAUUAGAUACCCCGGUAGUCC